AGAAAGAAAGAAACAUGUGAAUGCGGUUAUUGUUAGUCAAAAAGGUGUCUUCACCCACUCCCACUCAUUAUCAAUUCCACCCACUCUCACUCAUUAUGUUUCCUCACCCACCCACUCCACCUUCUACUUUUCUACCUACCUCAUAAUUUAGCCAACCUCUCUCCUCCUCAUUUGGCUAUAAAAAGAAGCUAAGGAAGAAGGAUGAUACACACCAACAAAAAUCAGCAUACUCCAUCCGAGAGUUUAAGGAGAAAAGGAGAGAAGGAGAGAAAGAAAAGCUUCUGUGAAGCUUUAGAAAAUAGAGAAGGAGAAAGAUAGUUCAAAUAAAAGGGUGUUUUAUUUGGGUUCCAUCACAUAGUUAUUGUGGUGAAGUAAUUUGAGUUUGUACUCAAAUUAAGAUAUCUUUGUAUUCUCUCAUAUUAUUCUAGUGGAUUUUUUCGGAGAUCGUCCCGUGAUUUUUACCUCUUAGUUUUAGAGGGUUUUCCACGUAAAAAUUCUUGGUGUCUCGUGGUUUGAUAAUCUUGGUGUCUCGUGGUUUGAUAAUCUUGGUGUCUCGUGGUUUGAUAAUCUUGGUGUCUCUUUGUUUGUUUUUCUUUCUUAUUAUUCAUUUAAUUUAUCAACAACAACAGUCUUUGGGUGGUGUUUUUCCCAACAAAAAUGAGGCUAAGGAAGAAGGAUGAAAUACACCAACAAAAAUCAGCAUACUCCAUCCGAGAGUUUAAGGAGAGAAGGAGAGAAGGAGAGAAAGAAAAGCUUCUGUGAAGCUUUAGAAAAUAGAGAGGGAGAAAGAUAGUUCAAAUAGAAGGGUGUUUUAUUUGGGUUCCAUCACAUAGUUAUUGUGGUGAAGUAAUUUGAGUUUGUACUCAAAUUAAGAUAUCUUUGUAUUCUCUCAUAUUAUUCUAGUGGAUUUUUCGGAGAUCGUCC
RNAcentral lists this long non-coding RNA (924 nucleotides) under Panax ginseng (ginseng). RNAcentral describes it as "long non-coding RNA (PGIN_LNC008648)". The record is from RNAcentral. Lineage: Eukaryota; Viridiplantae; Streptophyta; Magnoliopsida; Apiales; Araliaceae.